CCCGUUUCUUGCGCGGUUUCGGCCCAAUGGGAGGCUCGUUAGAUGCAUUUUUUAAUUUAUUAUUAUUAUUAUUUUGCUGAUCCGCCUCCCGCUCCUGUCAGUCGGAGGUCCGUUUACGUUCCGCCCCACGCGGUGGCAGCAGCGGCACGGCUGCGGGCGCGGCAGAGCGGUUGUGCUGCAAAAUGGCCGGGGGAGCGGGUCUGGAUGCUCUGCGUUGUUCUGCCGAUCUGACUGGGGAAAGCAGCGGGAGCACAUGUUAAGAGAUGAAGCUGAAGGCUAUCGAGAGAAAUAUGAGUUCAGAGCAGCUUUCCCCACCCCCCCUCUCCCCUCCCACUUCAGUUUACAGACUCGAAAUGGGUGCAUUCACUUGAGAAAUGUGAACAGGGCUGCAUAUCAUCAGCCAGGCUUCAAGACGUCUUGGCUGCCUUGGUGGUGUAAACUUCAGUAUCGUUCAAUACACACUCACUGGUGAGUGAAUUCACAUAAUAAUUUCUAACAAUUGCCUUUGAUCGAACUCCAUCAGCCUGUAGGAAA
RNAcentral lists this long non-coding RNA (534 nucleotides) under Coturnix japonica (Japanese quail). Its description in RNAcentral is "lncRNA (ENSCJPG00005001026.1)". Lineage: Eukaryota; Metazoa; Chordata; Aves; Galliformes; Phasianidae. The record is from RNAcentral.